RNAcentral lists this transfer RNA (75 nucleotides) under Actinomycetota bacterium. RNAcentral describes it as "Actinobacteria bacterium tRNA-Pro". It matches the Rfam family "tRNA". Rfam says of the family: Transfer RNA (tRNA) molecules are approximately 80 nucleotides in length. Their secondary structure includes four short double-helical elements and three loops (D, anti-codon, and T loops). The record is from RNAcentral. Lineage: Bacteria; Bacillati; Actinomycetota.
CUGGCUGUGGGGGAGUGUGGCCACCCCGCCGGCUUCGGGCGCCGGAGAUCGCAGGUUCGACUCCUGCCGGCCAGA